Molecule: unclassified non-coding RNA, 2504 nt
Filed under: Hevea brasiliensis (rubber tree)
Lineage: Eukaryota; Viridiplantae; Streptophyta; Magnoliopsida; Malpighiales; Euphorbiaceae
Source: RNAcentral
GAAAAAAAAAAAACGCCCUCCUUAAGCCUGACCUCAGCCAUGGCUAUUCGACGGUCGGAGAAGAACUCGUAGAGUUUCCGCAUUGAAGCUCAAAAAUCACGGGACGAGUCCCUCCAGUUCCAGAUUAUUUAUACUGUACUCGAUCACUCUGAUAGAAUAGACUAUGGUUUGGGGUCUGUUUCCCGCCGAUCCUCUCUCAGGUCACUUGCUCUUUCCAAUUCCUACGCCUCUUUUUCUUUGUAAUGGCCACAAAUUCCCAAUUGAUUGUGAAUUUAUAGAUUUUCCAUGUACACCUUUAGGAGUUUUCAUCUCGAAAGCAACUUCAUGGGGAAUUGGUUAAACUACAUCUCCAAUGGAUAUUUUUUUUUAAUUUUUAAUUUUGGAGUUCAUAUGAUCAUUUUCUUAACCGUACAAGAUCAUCAGAAAGUAGUCAUAACAACAAAUUGCAUGCACUGGAUUGGAUUGAUUAUGUUAUCUCUCAGUACAGUCUUCUUCUUGUGCUGUUGCUUUUGGUAAUGAGUUUGUUGGUGCUUGUGUUGUGAUUGUUGUGACAGGGGAAGAUAAGUACUAUAUUUUUACUAAAGGAACAUACAAAGUUGGUCGCAAAGGUUGCGAUGUAAUUAUUAACAAAGACAAAGGAGUUUCUCGUAUCCAUGCAGAGAUAGUUGUUGAUGAAAUGACUUUGUCUAACGCCAUGGAAAGCAAGUCUGAAUGGUCCUCCAGAAUUCGAAUUAGAGAUUUUUCAAAGUAUGGCACAUUCAUUAACAAGAAUCUUGGGUCAAUGGAAAAGGUUCAAGAGUUCCCAAAUAAAGAAACAACUUUAAAAGAAGGGGACCUGAUUUCUUUUGGGACGGGUAAUGCAACAUACAGGUUUUGUUUUGUUCCACUCAAUUUUUUUGUCUACUGCUCUGAGUCGUUCCAAGGCAAUCAAACCCUUGAAGACAAAGUUUCAUCAAUUGGCGCUCGUAUUACUUUCCAAUUGAGUGAAGAGUGUACACAUGUACUUGUUGAUCACCAAAUGCCAGUAAAUAAAGAUGUUGUUGAUGCUAUUGUAGCUAAGAAACCUGUUGUUCUCCAUAGCUGGGCCGAGUUGGUUGCUGAAAAAAGCAUUGGGUCGGAAAUUCCUAGCUGGAAUUCCUAUAUCCCGACAUUAACAGUGGAAGGAGUACCAACCAAAGUUGUGGACUCAGUAACUCGGGCAAAAUGUUUGGAUGGAUACACUUGUCUUCUAGAAUCAACAAAUAUGUAUAAGUUCGGGGACAGGUUGCAGUCUCUGUUGGAAGUAAGCGGUGCAAAUGUUAUUUUCAUUGAAGAAUUUUGUUCAAGUAGCCAAGGCUUGGAUUGUGGAGAAAAUGUUCAAAUGGUGUAUGUUAUCCCUCAAGGGUCAACUGACAAGUCUGGUCGUUAUAGCAAACUGAGUUCAUUAUCUAAAGUGAAUGAAGUGGAUCUGUCAUGUGCUGUUAUAUCUGGGCAUUUAGAUUCAUCUAUAUUUAUAUUACCAACUGUGCUUGUUUCAUCAUCAUGCUCCACGGAUGAGACAGUAGUAGCAGAUUCUGAUGAGGAAGUGGGAAUGACAUCAAUUCAUUCCACAGCCAAUAUCUGCAGUGAAGAAGCCCCUAAAUGUGUGAACAAAGUAGAAAUAUCCACUGUUCAUUGCCUUACUAAAUCAGAGGAUAACCAUGUCAUGAGCUCUAUGGACAAUUACGGUGGAAUGACAGCAAAAAAGGAGAAGGGGGAAGACCCUGAAAGUGCAAAUUCUGAUAUCAUUUAUAGCCAAGAAUUAAUUAUUAGGGAUUGGCAUUUACCUGUGACAAUCAGUUCUACUACAAGUGAUAGAAUUUUAAACUUCAAGCGCUUCAAAAAGAAAAACAUGCAAUCAGGAAAUAGCUUCAACAACCUGAUUCCAUUCUCAAAAUUGCCAUACAAAGAUACUGACUAUGGCAAUCCGGAGAUGCUCGACUAUGUGAAAGAAGAAAAAAGCCGGAAGCAAAUGGAAGCUAUUGCAGAGGAUUUAUUCAACAAUGAAAAGGGAAGACGGCGUGGUGUAGCUGGUUCUCUUCAUUCACUUCUUUCUCAUGGAUGAAGGAAAAAAAAAAGAAGGCAAUGGAGAGAUGGUUGAUCAUCUGAUUCUUCAUUGGCCAUAGACCUGUAAAUUACGGUCUCUGUUUUGCCUUUCCAUUUGUUGAUUCAACUGAUUGAAAGAGAUGUUGAACUGUUGAAUUCCUGGUGGAGAGUGAAGGCAUAUUUUUAAUUUUAUGGAAGAUGGCUCCUCUGAUGUAAAUAUGGCUUGAUAGGAAUAUUGGGUGUCUGAGAAUGUUGAAAUAUCUCUGUUGGUGUGUUCAAGUUUCGUAUUUUGAGACGUUUGUAUUUGUUGUUGAGUACUAUUUUGGAAGGUAGGUGGAUUCAUUUUCAGAAUUGAUAACUUUUGUGCUAUUCACAUUCCAAAAACUAAUUUUCUCAACCUCUCCCAACACAAAUUAUUUUCCCAAUUUGGAGCAAGUUAU